Molecule: ribosomal RNA, 279 nt
Filed under: Escherichia coli
Lineage: Bacteria; Pseudomonadati; Pseudomonadota; Gammaproteobacteria; Enterobacterales; Enterobacteriaceae
Description: partial 16S ribosomal RNA
Rfam family: Bacterial small subunit ribosomal RNA
Source: RNAcentral
UCUUCGCUGACGAGUGGCGGACGGGUGAGUAAUGUCUGGGAAACUGCCUGAUGGAGGGGGAUAACUACUGGAAACGGUAGCUAAUACCGCAUAACGUCGCAAGACCAAAGAGGGGGACCUUCGGGCCUCUUGCCAUCGGAUGUGCCCAGAUGGGAUUAGCUAGUAGGUGGGGUAACGGCUCACCUAGGCGACGAUCCCUAGCUGGUCUGAGAGGAUGACCAGCCACACUGGAACUGAGACACGGUCCAGACUCCUACGGGAGGCAGCAGUGGGGAAUAU